ACGUAGGAACUAGGCAAGAAAAAAAAAAAUCACCUUAAUAUAUUCUAAUUUUGUCAAGAAUUUAAAAAAAUCAUCAAUAAGCACAUUGCUGAAUAUAUCCCGCUCUGCUCACUCACUCCGUGGGGUCAGUCGCUCAACCCAGAAUGGCCUGCUGGUUCCAAAAUAUGCAAGGAGAAAUUUAAUUGUUUAGAAAUAAACUGGUGUUGGCACCCCAUAAACUAAAAUAAUCACCAAAACUAUGCCAUUCGUUUGUGCUACGUUUGUGCUGAUUUGUGCCGCAGAAAUGAACGUUUGUGCUGGUUUGGUGUUUGAGAUAUUAAACAUUCUUUUUUUGACUGUAUGACGUCACUCUCCACACCAUGUUGCCCAAAUCGUUCCAAACCAGCGCAGUUCAUUUGUGCUCGAUUUUUGCCACUAAAACAAACACUGUAUCUAUUUUCCUUCCAUAGAUAUAUCCAAAAUAUUUUCGAAGUCUCCUUCCCAGUUCGUCUAAAUUGCCCAAAACUGGUGACAUUAGUUUGUGCUGGUUUGUGUUGUUGAAAUGAACGUCAAAUAUAUUUCUUCUUCUUAGAAAUAACAAAAACAAUUCUGGGCACAGAAACAGAAACCUGUGCAGUUUGUUUGUGCUCGAUUUGUGCUGUUUUGUGUCGUAGAAAGAACCAUCAAAAAUUAUUCCAUUCUUUAGUUUAAACAUCACAAAAUCUUUGGAGGAGUAGUAACGUCAUGCAAGCAGGCAGCGAUCUCCAUCCAUCUUGAAUCCAACCUGUCGGGUUCGUUUGUCUGUCAUUGUUCUUUUCUUUGUUAGAUAUGGAAAUGUUUUAUUUUCAGUGACUUUAUCAAUCUCCAGAUAAAAAAAAGGUAGGUUAUGUGAUUGAUUGAUGCUAAGGCUAUUGCUUGUUUAUUAAAAAAUUCAUGUGGUGUGUCCCAGCUUUUUGAAAACUUUGUAGCAUGUCGGAACAUUGCGACGCACACUCUUUGUUUGUUUGUUUUUCCUUUUAUUAUGUUUUUUUAUUCAAAUCGAGCUUAAUUUAUCAGAUGGAAGUUUAGGGUACUGUAGUUUGUUUUAAAUGGCUAUAUUGCAUUAUCUAGGCCUUUGUUACAGAUGCACAAAGCAAACUGUGCAUUUUAUCUUUCUCUGAAGGAGAAAGAAAACCAAGAAGCGGUGUUUAUGUUUGUUUAAUACGUCUUUAAAGCAACUAAUCCAUGACUGUUACUUGUUAGUUUGCUGUAUAGCUUGUUUAACUAGCAGGUCUUCCCUCACUUUUGACCAGUUUAGGAUUCUGUGAUUUCGUAUUUGCUGAAAAAAAGAAAGUCAUAUAGAUUUUUUGUUGUUGUUGGGUGAAGUAUGAAGCAAACCACCUGGUUAAAGUUUUUUUAUUUAGCUCCCAAACUUGUUUCCUUUUAAAUGCAAAGGUUAAUGUAAAAAUAACAGAGCAAUUUCUGUGAAAGAAUUUACAAAUGUUUUUUUUUAAAUAACCAUAAAAUAAGAGAACUACAAAAAUAUGUUGACUUCAUGUAAGAGUAGUCCUAAAAUUAAUACAUCUGGGUACAAAUAACAGAACAAUUACUAAAGAAAAAUAGAACUUAGGGUUAAAAAAAAGAAUGCUGUUAAAACAGUCAUAAAGUGAAUAGAGAUCAUGGUGAUUAACAACAAUAGAAAAAUCAAUAUAGUCCAAUCUCUUAUUGAUUAUGAACUAAUUUCUGCAGAAACCAGUCCAAAAUAAUCAUUAAUCAAAGGUUUUAGUCCUCCUUUGUGAACAACGUGAGACUGUUGUGACAUAUUCACACAGGUCAUCAUAUUUCUCCCAGGCAAAAGAGUUUCUUCUGCAGUUAGCCACGUAAUGUCCAAGAGAUUCUCUUGUUGGUCCUGGAAUGAAUGCGACAACCCCUCGCAAAGUGAACAGCUGAUUGUCCAGCUCAAUGUCGACAGGGAUUUCAGGCAGUGGAUGCUAUCUGGACACUCUUGGGGUGAUUUCAGUGGCUUCAGACACUUGGACCUGCAUUUUAGCCUUCCUUGCAAUGCAGAACAAAGGCACUGGCAAAAGGAAUCAAAGGCACAGGCAGGCACGUGCACAGGGAAAGUGUAGUGAAUAAGAGACCUUCAAGAGACCA
Carassius auratus (goldfish) is the source of this 2112-nucleotide long non-coding RNA. RefSeq lists it as uncharacterized. NCBI's taxonomy places the organism in Eukaryota, Metazoa, Chordata, Actinopteri, Cypriniformes, Cyprinidae. The transcript is spliced from 4 exons. The record is from RefSeq and is a predicted model, not a curated record.